Molecule: ribosomal RNA, 429 nt
Filed under: Bacteroidota bacterium
Lineage: Bacteria; Pseudomonadati; Bacteroidota
Description: Bacteroidetes bacterium partial 16S ribosomal RNA
Rfam family: Bacterial small subunit ribosomal RNA
Source: RNAcentral
UGGGGAAUCUUCCGCAAUGGGCGCAAGCCUGACGGAGCAAUGCCGCGUGAGUGAAGAAGGCCUUCGGGUUGUAAAACUCUGUCCUCAUCCAAGAGAAGGAAAGGUAGUAACUGACCCUUCCAGGACGGUAGAUGAGGAGGAAGCCCCGGCUAACUAUGUGCCAGCAGCCGCGGUAAAACAUAGGGGGCAAGCGUUGUCCGGAAUCACUGGGCGUAAAGGGCGCGCAGGCGGUCUGUUAAGUCAGAUGUGAAAGGUUAGGGCUCAACCCUGAACGUGCAUCUGAUACUGGCAGACUUGAGUAUGGAAGAGGUAAGUGGAAUUCCUAGUGUAGCGGUGAAAUGCGUAGAUAUUAGGAGGAACACCAGUGGCGAAGGCGACUUACUGGGCCAUAACUGACGCUGAGGCGCGAAAGCGUGGGGAGCAAACAGG